GUUAAAAGAUAGAACGGUCUAGUCAAGCGCCAUGUCUCUUGUUCUUCGAUUAACUAUAGCUCUGGAGUUUUUGCAGAUUUUUAAAUAAAACUCUGAGAUUCCUUACAUGACUCUCUCUAGUCUCUCUUUUAUGGUAUUUCUGGAUCCUUACCAAGGCAGUAAUGGUGUAUGCCUUCUCUCAAAGUAUGUGGUAUUUUUGGUAUGAGGCAUAGUGGCAUUGCCUUCUCUCUCACCCUAGUCUAUUAAGGUUUUGAUAUCUGGAGCUCAUAGGUGGGAGACAACUAAUACAUACUUACAAGACAUUUAUUGCAUAGUCAAACCAUGGAUCCAGAAGAACAAGUCAAUAAGUCAAAUCAAGAUGUGCAUGUGUGACGAAUGAAUAGUGAUAAUGGUGAAAAUAAUGGUGAAAGUCUAAUUCUACUUUUGCUCUUUUGAGGGGGUACAUACCUUCCUUGCACUUGAGGCUUUUGAGGGGAAUGAGAUGCUCUAUAUUUUAUUUUUCUUUUCUCUCAGGUGGGUACCCUAAUUCUACUGUCGGACACUUGUCCAUUUUUACCUCUCAUCUCACUUUUUCUUUUUUCGAGGUUUCGGGCACUUGCCCCUUUUUAUUUCCUCGUAUUCACUUUUUUUCAGAGCACUCACCCUCCUGGAAUAAUGUAGCAAGUGGUAGUAAACAAAAUAUCUUGAGCAUUUAUUUCACAGGGAAUAACAGGGAUAGGAUAAUGUUUUUGGCUAUUCUCUCCUAGAUAGGAGUAGAAUAAUUUUGGGUGAAUCUGGAUAUAGAAAUGAGUGGAUGUAUGUGGAUGCGUACUUCCGGAGUAGAAGCAGCAUGCAUGAGUGAACGUGCAAGUGAAUCUUGAUUUUAACCGCAUGACAAGCUCCUAAGGGUCGACACAGCUUGACCACACUCAACGCUCAUAAGCAGUAAAAAGUAAAUGUAUGGUUCAUAGUC
This 952-nucleotide long non-coding RNA is filed under the name Sorghum bicolor (sorghum). RNAcentral describes it as "long non-coding RNA (SBIC_LNC016355)". Lineage: Eukaryota; Viridiplantae; Streptophyta; Magnoliopsida; Poales; Poaceae. The record is from RNAcentral.